This 253-nucleotide ribosomal RNA is filed under the name uncultured bacterium. RNAcentral describes it as "partial 16S ribosomal RNA". It matches the Rfam family "Bacterial small subunit ribosomal RNA", at positions 524 to 776 of the family's 1533-position model. The record is from RNAcentral.
UACAGAGGGGGCAAGCGUUGUUCGGAAUUACUGGGCGUAAAGGGCGCGUAGGCGGCCUGCUAAGUCGAACGUGAAAUCCCCGGGCUCAACCCGGGAACUGCGUCCGAUACUGACAGGCUUGAAUCCGGGAGAGGGAUGUGGAAUUCCAGGUGUAGCGGUGAAAUGCGUAGAUAUCUGGAGGAACACCGGUGGCGAAGGCGGCAUCCUGGACCGGUAUUGACGCUGAUGCGCGAAAGCCAGGGGAGCAAACAGG